RNAcentral lists this ribosomal RNA (600 nucleotides) under uncultured bacterium. RNAcentral describes it as "bacterial SSU rRNA". It matches the Rfam family "Bacterial small subunit ribosomal RNA", at positions 732 to 1336 of the family's 1533-position model. The record is from RNAcentral.
GACCGUUACUGACGUUUAGGCUCGAAAGUGCGGGUAUCAAACAGGAUUAGAUACCCUGGUAGUCCGCACAGUAAACGAUGGACACUCGCUGUCGGCGACAGACAGUCGGCGGCCAAGCGAAAGCGUUAAGUGUCCCACCUGGGGAGUACGCCGGCAACGGUGAAACUCAAAGGAAUUGACGGGGGCCCGCACAAGCGGAGGAACAUGUGGUUUAAUUCGAUGAUACGCGAGGAACCUUACCCGGGCUUGAACUGCGCAGGAAUGUUGGGGAGACCCAUCAGUCAGCAAUGACCUGCGUGGAGGUGCUGCAUGGUUGUCGUCAGCUCGUGCCGUGAGGUGUCGGCUUAAGUGCCAUAACGAGCGCAACCCCUUCUUCCAGUUGCCAUCGGGUGAUGCCGGGCACUCUGGAGGGACUGCCGCCGUAAGGUGUGAGGAAGGCGGGGAUGACGUCAAAUCAGCACGGCCUUUACGUCCGGGGCUACACACGUUGAACAAUGGGGGGUACAGCGGGGUGCCACCGCGCGAGCGGGCGCCGAUCCUCAAACCCUCCCGUAGUUCGGAUUGGGGUCUGCAACCCGACCCCAUGAAGCUGGAUUCGCU